GUGAGGAAUUUUCCGCAAUGGGCGAAAGCCUGACGGAGCAAUGCCGCGUGAAGGAUGAAGGCCUAUGGGUUGUAAACUUCUUUUCUCAGAAAAGAAUUAUGACGGUAUCUGAGGAAUAAGCAUCGGCUAACUCUGUGCCAGCAGCCGCGGUAAGACAGAGGAUGCAAGCGUUAUCCGGAAUGAUUGGGCGUAAAGCGUCUGUAGGUUGUUUAAAAAGUAUUCUGUCAAAGAUUAGGGCUUAACCCUAGAUAGGCAGAAUAAACUUUUAAGCUAGAAUUUGGUAGAGGCAGAGGGAAUACCCGGUGGAGCGGUGAAAUGCGUAGAUAUCGGGAGGAACACCAAAGGCGAAGGCACUCUGCUGGGCCAAUACUAACACUGAGAGACGAAAGCGAGGGGAGCAAAUGGGAUUAGAAACCCCUGUAGUCC
This 426-nucleotide ribosomal RNA is filed under the name uncultured bacterium. Its description in RNAcentral is "bacterial SSU rRNA". It matches the Rfam family "Bacterial small subunit ribosomal RNA", at positions 354 to 796 of the family's 1533-position model. The record is from RNAcentral.